This 1239-nucleotide ribosomal RNA is filed under the name Bacillus sp. (in: firmicutes). RNAcentral describes it as "bacterial SSU rRNA". It matches the Rfam family "Bacterial small subunit ribosomal RNA", at positions 44 to 1275 of the family's 1533-position model. Lineage: Bacteria; Bacillati; Bacillota; Bacilli; Caryophanales; Bacillaceae. The record is from RNAcentral.
GGGCUCAAGCUAUACUGCAAGUCGAGCGGACAGAAGGGAGCUUGCUCCCGGAUGUUAGCGGCGGACGGGUGAGUAACACGUGGGUAACCUGCCUGUAAGACUGGGAUAACUCCGGGAAACCGGAGCUAAUACCGGAUAGUUCCUUGAACCGCAUGGUUCAAGGAUGAAAGACGGUUUCGGCUGUCACUUACAGAUGGACCCGCGGCGCAUUAGCUAGUUGGUGAGGUAACGGCUCACCAAGGCGACGAUGCGUAGCCGACCUGAGAGGGUGAUCGGCCACACUGGGACUGAGACACGGCCCAGACUCCUACGGGAGGCAGCAGUAGGGAAUCUUCCGCAAUGGACGAAAGUCUGACGGAGCAACGCCGCGUGAGUGAUGAAGGUUUUCGGAUCGUAAAGCUCUGUUGUUAGGGAAGAACAAGUGCAAGAGUAACUGCUUGCACCUUGACGGUACCUAACCAGAAAGCCACGGCUAACUACGUGCCAGCAGCCGCGGUAAUACGUAGGUGGCAAGCGUUGUCCGGAAUUAUUGGGCGUAAAGGGCUCGCAGGCGGUUUCUUAAGUCUGAUGUGAAAGCCCCCGGCUCAACCGGGGAGGGUCAUUGGAAACUGGGAAACUUGAGUGCAGAAGAGGAGAGUGGAAUUCCACGUGUAGCGGUGAAAUGCGUAGAGAUGUGGAGGAACACCAGUGGCGAAGGCGACUCUCUGGUCUGUAACUGACGCUGAGGAGCGAAAGCGUGGGGAGCGAACAGGAUUAGAUACCCUGGUAGUCCACGCCGUAAACGAUGAGUGCUAAGUGUUAAGGGGGUUUCCGCCCCUUAGUGCUGCAGCUAACGCAUUAAGCACUCCGCCUGGGGAGUACGGUCGCAAGACUGAAACUCAAAGGAAUUGACGGGGGCCCGCACAAGCGGUGGAGCAUGUGGUUUAAUUCGAAGCAACGCGAAGAACCUUACCAGGUCUUGACAUCCUCUGACAACCCUAGAGAUAGGGCUUUCCCUUCGGGGACAGAGUGACAGGUGGUGCAUGGUUGUCGUCAGCUCGUGUCGUGAGAUGUUUGGGUUAAGUCCCGCAACGAGCGCAACCCUUGAUCUUAGUUGCCAGCAUUAGUUGGGCACUCUAAGGUGACUGCCGGUGACAAACCGGAGGAAGGGGGGGAUGACGUCAAAUCAUCAUGCCCCUUAUGACCUGGCUACACACGUGCUACAAUGGACAAACAAAGGUCCGAAGGUUUACCAAUCCC